This 190-nucleotide ribosomal RNA is filed under the name uncultured eukaryote. RNAcentral describes it as "partial 18S ribosomal RNA". It matches the Rfam family "Eukaryotic small subunit ribosomal RNA", at positions 1487 to 1676 of the family's 1831-position model. The record is from RNAcentral.
CUGCAGCCGCGCUCUACUGAUGCGCUCAACGAGUUUAUGCCCUUGCCCGAAAGGGUUGGGUAAUCUUCUUAACACGCAUCGUGAUGGGGAUAGAUUAUUGUAAUUAUUAAUCUUCAACGAGGAAUUCCUAGUAAGCGCGAGUCAUCAGCUCGUGCUGAUUACCCCCCUGCCCUUUGUACACACCGCCCGU